This is a long non-coding RNA of Prunus avium (sweet cherry), 436 nucleotides long. RefSeq lists it as uncharacterized. Lineage: Eukaryota; Viridiplantae; Streptophyta; Magnoliopsida; Rosales; Rosaceae. The record is from RefSeq and is a predicted model, not a curated record.
CGGACAAAGCAUCCAGCUUGUCUCCAGCAGUGCUCAAAUAAUAGAAAUGAUUGCAGUUCAAGAUCACACUAAGAGAAAUAACACAACUAGGAAGCAAGAGGUGAAGGCAUCGGUACAAGAGCUUGCUUCUCGAGCUGCUUCCCGAGUCAAGGCUGUAGCUGCGGAAAAGAUCACACCACCAAAUUCGGCAUAUCAAUUUGAGGUUUCUUGGUGAGGAUUCUCUGGAGAUAAUGCUCGACAGACUAGCCUGUUGAAGGCUAUAUCUCCAAGUGCAUUGCCGCAGAUAUUCAAAAAUGCUUUGACUGUUCCCAUACUUCUUGACAUUAUCAAGUGUGUAGCAACCUUUUUCGUUGAAAAAAUGGAUUUGGCCGUCAAUUAUCUGGAGAACUUAACCAGGGUUCCAAGAUUUGACACACUCAUCAUGUUUCUUUCAUCC